GUUGCAUUCUGAAUGAUUAUUUUUUUCGUAGAUAGGAAGAAAAUAAAUUAUAUAUAUACUUUUUUUUUUAUUACACUUCAGAUAUAUGUAUUGCUGGUUUAGAGAUAAGUGAUUUGAUCAUUUGACAACCUCUGUUUUAGAGAACCAGCAUGGUUGUGGUGUGAUAAGUAUUUAAGUUAAGGUCAGGCUUAUGGAAUUAACUGGGCGGUAGGAGGGGCACUUGCUAUAUAUACGAGGUGAUAGGACGUGCCGCUGGGAUAGGUCAACUUUCUAACUUGAAAUAAUGAGAUCAAUAAAGUUUUCAUUACUUGUUAUAUGAAAAACACUGUAACUUUUUUUGGUGUAAUAGCUGUGUUUUUAUCCACAAAUUUCCCCUCUUUUGACACUUUGGUAUUCCACUUCAACAUACCACACACGAAACCCAUUCAAUAUGGGAAAAGGUUACUAUUUUACCUAUUCAUUAUAUGAAAAGGUAAACAUUUUUAAUAUCUAAAUUAUAUGAAAGGAUAGGGUAACAGAACCCCAGUGGCACACCCUAUCAAUAUAUUAUUGUCUCACUUGAUGGAGUCAAAAAGCGAGACAGAGGUAUGCUUGUUUCUGGCGUCGGCGACAGCGUCAACAAUGUAUUAGUUUGUGAUUAGGUCUAGUUUAUGGUGAACCACAAGUGGUAGGGCAAUGCAAUGAUAUUUGGUAUGCAGUUGUAUAAGCAUUGGCACAUCUCAUUUCCAUGGAGAUUAUUUGGCCAUGCCCCCUCAGUCAUGGUCUAAUGACUUUGAAACUUUUGGUUAGUUUACAUGUAUUAGUUUGUGAUUAGGUCAGUUUAUGGGGAACAACUAGUGGUAGGUCAAUAAUAUUUGGUAUUUGGUUGUUUAAGCAUCAUUGGCAUAUUUCAUUUCCAUGGAGAUUAUUUGGCUCUGCCACCUUAGUCAUGGUCUAUUGACUUGGAAAAUUUUGCUUAGUUUACAUGUAUUAGUUUGUGAUUAGGGCGGUUCAAGUGGAACCGUUAGUGGUAGGUCAAUGUUAAUUGGUAUUCAGUUGUAAAAACAUUUGCUCAUCUCAUUUUCAAAAAUGGAGAAUUUUUAAUAUUUGGCCCCACCCCCUCAGUCAUGGUUUAUUGACUUUGAAACAUUUGCUUAGUUUGUAUGUAUUAGUUUGUGAUUAGAUAAACUGCUAAUGUUAAGUCAAUAAUAUUUGGUAUGGAAUUUAUUGGUAUUUGCAAGUCUUAUUUCCGUGAAAAUUAUAAAGCUUCACCCCCUCAUAAUGGUUCAUUGACUUUGAAACUUUUACAUAGUUUACAAGUUAAUGUUUGUGUUUAGGUUUGUUUAAAGGAAUGACUUAUGAUAAGUUAAUGGUAUUUGGUAUGCAAUUGUAUUAACAUUGGCACAUCUCAUUUCCAUGGAGAUUGUUCAACUGUGUACCUUCAGUCAUGGUUCAUCGACUUUGAAUAUUUGCCUCACUUAUGUAACAUGUUUUAAAAAGUAUUGCUAUUUUAAUUUCAACAUUUGCAUAAUCAAAAUUACAAAAAAGCGAGACAUAUCUCUGUGAUAACAGUUUAUUGAAGUACAGCCCCCCUCCCACCUCGAGGGGAUUAAUUUCUAGCAAAGGUAUGGGGCUAGUAUACUAAAGAAAAUUGUAAAGAUUAGGGUUAUGGCAAAAAGUAUCAGAUAUUUUUUGAUUGAGGAUUUUUGUAAUGGCUACAGGGUUAUCGUAUUGGCAGUGCAUAAAUGGUAGAAUGGUGUUGGUUAUUAAAGUUAAAUCAAAUUUAUAAAUGUUAUUAAAUAUUGAUAUGAAUUAAUGAUGAAAUAAAUGUUAUGCGAUUGUUCCGAGGUCGGGAACUUGGUGUUUAUUAUUAUUGCCUUUUGAUUAUAAAUAUCUAUUUGAAUUUUUGUUGUUGAUUUAAAAUAAUUUCUGUUGAAAUAAAUUGAU
This 1926-nucleotide long non-coding RNA is filed under the name Mytilus galloprovincialis (Mediterranean mussel). The record is from RNAcentral. Lineage: Eukaryota; Metazoa; Mollusca; Bivalvia; Mytilida; Mytilidae.